GCAUACUGCAGAUUUUGCUCUUGUUCACAUACUACAUACUGAAUUUAGACCAAAUCAGUACGUACUGCUAGUAUAGUAGGCGGUUUUGAAAACAGCCAAAGACUGUAUGUAAGAAGUGGGUGAACCCUCAGUUUUCAAAAGUGUUGCAAAUGCCUCACUGUUUUAAACUGCAGACAAGUGGCGUGCAGGGGACAACUCCAACGGCUGCACACUAGAGUCCUUUUGUUCAGACACAUGACAACAGGUCUCAGUUUUUCAGCUGAUUUAUUGCCUCAGUAUUUAUAAGUCUGUGGUCUCAAUCUCUGGUCUUUAGUCUUCUGCAAUCCAGCAUGAUCUUAGUUUAAUAAAUUACACUCCCGUUUAGAUUUAAACAAACAGUAGUGCACAUAAACCAAGACGGCAAUGCCAAAACUUGAGUCCGGUCUGGCCCAGAGAUGGAGCGUUUGAGACUUGGACUUAAGUUGUACACCAAUGUGACUCGAGACUUGACUCAGACUUGUGCACAAUCUUUAUUUUGUAUUUUUGUUGCAUCAACAUUUGCUGAAUGUCACUCACUUCCUAUCAUGCAUAACCUGCGCAAGCGGCCGCCCACCACACAUGACACAAUGACAUCGGCUGCAGCUGCUACAGUGUUCCUCAGACAUCUCCAUACGGGUGCCUGAGUAUGUACACAGACCGUUUAAACCUUUUUAAGAUUGCUGUGGCUAUCACGACAUCUCUGCUGUUCAUGCAAUGAUUGAGGUCAGCGUCUCAUGUCAUAUUUAAGCCCUCUCAUUCAGCAGCAGUUGUUAUUCUGCACUUCUAGUUGUGGAUCGCCACUAACGAGCCACAUGCAGACCGCCUGUUAUAACAGAACAUGAAGUGAAACAUUUCAGAUGCAGGUUUUGUUAUUUGAGUGUCUUUAUAUAAUACACUGAUGAUAGGUGUCGUCUAGAUCAGGCACAGACAAACAGGUGUAGGGAUCAUGAGCUGAUUCAGGGGGAGGUGGGGGUUGGCCUUGCUGGCUGUGAUUCAACAGACUGAGUAGCUUUCUUUGCAUUUCAAUGUGACUUUGGACAAACAUCUUCUUGAGUCAUUAAAGAUAAGCUAAGAAGGUUUAAAUGUUGCCACUCUGGAUGAAACUUAAAUAUCACUAGUUGAAAUCAAACUGAAUGGUAGAGAUAGAGGAUGAUUGCAUGCUGUGCAUUUGUGUGUGUGAAUACUUCAUGCCACUGCUGCAAAGGUCAGUCUGAGUUUGACCACCUUGUUCAUAAGAGUCCAGUUCCUCUUGCAGGUGUGUGUGUGUGGAUAAUAGAACAAAGCACUACAACUAACCAAAUAUCAUGAUGAGCUGACCCUGCUCUCAAAGACUUGAGCCUUGACUUGGACUUGCAGAAAGUGACUCUUGUCCACCUCUGGUUCAUCCACUUCUUUUAUACUGCUCUUACAUUUGACAGCUUUCUUCUACUAAACUUUUGCACAUGAUGUCAUAAAUGGACUUUUCUGCAUUUUUUCAUGUAAUUAGCGAACACAAUCGUGCCUGUGACAUUUUAUCAAAGGGCCUCCACAUAGACAGGAGUGAUAACCUCUAAGUCUAAAGCACUGCCACACUCUCACACUACCCUCACUGGAAUGCUUUUACUCACAGCACUGCCAAACUGUGUAUGUUUCUAUAACAAAUGUAUUUACUGUUUUAUAAAAUAUACUUUGUGAUAAUCCCUGA
Molecule: long non-coding RNA, 1702 nt
Organism: Notolabrus celidotus (New Zealand spotty)
Lineage: Eukaryota; Metazoa; Chordata; Actinopteri; Labriformes; Labridae
Exons: 2
Source: RefSeq, a predicted model, not a curated record